Long non-coding RNA from Canis lupus familiaris (dog), 1544 nucleotides. RefSeq lists it as uncharacterized. The record is from RefSeq and is a predicted model, not a curated record. The transcript has 3 exons. NCBI's taxonomy places the organism in Eukaryota, Metazoa, Chordata, Mammalia, Carnivora, Canidae.
UUCCUGGGUACCUCAAAGGCGGGGCCUCCAGGCUUCUCUCCCAGCAUCCAGGAAUAAACCGUCUGAUGGUCUGAAUAGGAGAUUCAUCUUUGCACCAUCUCUGAUUCCAUAAAUCCUGCUGAUGGUUCUUCUCCAUGAAUGUGGUUUCUGGCAGAGGGACUCUCUGCAAUCUCCACGUGAAGAGUCAGGAAAGCAUAGAGAAAAGUUCCUGGUGACCUCCAGCCUAGAGCCCAUGAAAGACAAGACUUGGGAAAAUAUCUAUAGAAUAAUUUGAAGAGUUGUAUGAAGUACUUCUGAGAUAGGACUACAACAUUACAAAACAGUGCCUGUGCCACAAAAACCUAAGUGCCCAUGUGUCCUCACGUCCUUCUGUGUGUAACAUGGGCUUGGCUUCCUGUAGGCCACAGUGGUGGCUAACUUCUGGUGAGAACUUUCUAGGUGUCAGGCUCUGGAAAGGACCCCGGCAGGGGGCAGAGACAGUACCCCAGCUGCCCAAUUCCCCCUGGAACCACUGCUUCGAGGCCUCUCUGAGAUGCCGGCAUCCUGGGACCCCACUGCAUUCUGAAGCAGCCUUCACCUUCCUCCACUCCUGAUUCAGUCUAAGGAAGAGCCAAAAACUUAGGAAAAACUUCUGCUUGGAGCCAAUCUCCUCCAAGAGAAAUUCUAAAAUACCCUGGAAGCAGCAACUUUCUUAUCUAAACAGAUGAUAGCAAAUUCUUUUCCUUCCCUGGCAGUGAUCUCUGUUGGGGAGGAAGUCAGGCAGCAUGGAUGAGGCUGGGUACAUGACCAGCUGUCCCACUUGAGAGCUCAUUUGGAUAGAUACUUGGGCCUCUCCACCAAUGAUGCUGGUAAUCCCUGAAAGAUCUGUUCCAUCCUCAUCUGAGCAAGAGGCUUCCUCACCAUUUGCUCACAUCACACAAACACACUACAAAGAACAUGGCCCCAAAGAGGGAAGGGAUGCCCCGUAUGUGUUAAUAGGCUCACCAUUGAUUUUUCUCUACACUUGAGACUCCUUAGGACAACUUGGCAUCUAAAGUUCUAAGGUCGGAAGUUAACCUCUUGACUCUUCCAUAAGGAAACAUUCAUUCCUUUGGAAUAGAGAUGCACCAAAUAUUCAGUUUAAGCAAAAGCCUUGAAAUGCAUGACAACUUGGGGUGCCUGGGUUGCUCAGUUGAUUGAGCAUCUGACUCUUGAUUUGGGAUCAGGGCACGAUCUCAGGGUCCUGGAAUUGAGCCCCUCGAUAGGCUCCACAGUGGAAGAAAAUCUGCACUCAGCAGAAAAUCCGCCUGAGGAUUCUCUCCCUCUCCCUCCGCCCCUCCCCCAGCUCACAUGCUGUCUCUUGCUCUCCCUCUAAAAUAAAUAAAUAAAUGUUUUUAAAAAAUGCACAAUAAAUAGCAAGCAUGUGUUUGUUAAAAACAAAUUCAUUCCAUGAUUUCUGAUCCUUAUGAGAUUUUGAUGAUCUCAUGACAUUUGAUUCUUUUGUCAGAAAUAAGAGAGAAGGACUCAGAACAACAAAUGUAAUGAUGGGUAACAGUGUCUUUUAA